GUGGGGAAUAUUGGACAAUGGGCGAAAGCCUGAUCCAGCCAUGCCGCGUGUGUGAAGAAGGUCUUCGGAUUGUAAAGCACUUUAAGUUGGGAGGAAGGGCAGUAAGUUAAUACCUUGCUGUUUUGAUGUUACCGACAGAAUAAGCACCGGCUAACUUCGUGCCAGCAGCCGCGGUAAUACGAAGGGUGCAAGCGUUAAUCGGAAUUACUGGGCGUAAAGCGAGCGUAGGUGGUUUUGUAAGUUGGUGGUGAAAUCCCCGGGCUCAACCUGGGAACUGCCUGCAAAACUGCAUGACUAGAGUACGGUAGAGGGUAGUGGAAUUUCCUGUGUAGCGGUGAAAUGCGUAGAUAUAGGAAGGAACACCAUUGGCGAAGGCGACUACCUGGACUGAUACUGACACUGAGGUGCGAAAGCGUGGGGAGCAAACAGGAUUAGAAACCCUAGUAGUCC
Molecule: ribosomal RNA, 450 nt
Filed under: uncultured bacterium
Lineage: Bacteria
Description: partial 16S ribosomal RNA
Rfam family: Bacterial small subunit ribosomal RNA
Source: RNAcentral